Molecule: unclassified non-coding RNA, 3330 nt
Filed under: Leishmania donovani
Lineage: Eukaryota; Euglenozoa; Kinetoplastea; Trypanosomatida; Trypanosomatidae
Description: gene:LdHU3.28.4270(CDS-product:hypothetical_prote in)
Source: RNAcentral
GACUCCGCUGAGCUCAGCUGUCGUGCUUAUUCCUGAGUAUGUGCUGACUUGUGCAGUGGCGUUGCCUCUCUUGCUAUCUCUGCGUCUCCUCCGUUGCUUGUGCGUGAGUUCUGUCUAAUCACCCGUUCACAGGACGUCAUUCGUUUUGUUUCCACAUGAUGUUUGUCUUGCAACGACUGUCUAUCCAUCCCUCUCCUUCUGUUCCUCUCCAUCCCGCCUCAUCGCGCGGGCACAUUGAAGUCCACACCGACACACACGCCGAGAUGUUGGUAACAUUAAUGGAAGAGCAUGGCUGAGCGGAGGCGAAAAAGACCCCGUAAUGAGAAUACGAUGUCUCAGAUGGACGUUUUCGUGGCGGUCCUGGGCGACGAUGAGCGGCGGCUCAUCAAAGAUGUCAUUAGCGAGAGCGCUGAGAGCAUCCUUCUCCUCGUCUUUGUCGGAGAUGGCGGCGUAAGGAAGACGUUGCGCAAAGCGAUGCUCUACUUCUCUGCUCAAUCCAUCGACCCGAACCGAGACGUGUGCAAGGCCUUUCACAGUGUCUUUUGUGGAGGAAAAGGCUAAUGACCUCAUCCAGUACCGUUGCGAACAUCGCAGCGGCAUCAACGUUGUCGUCGAGGCUGAGAACGCCGCUCACGGCCGCUUCUCCAUAUGCGCAGCGAGCGUUGUACCACACAAGUCUUCUUUUGUUUGCUUUUCAGGAGCAGAGUUUUACGGUAGUGGUGUGCCGCACUGUGGAAUACACGACUGAGACGUUUCUCCGUCUAACAGACGGCGCGGCUGCGGUGCUUGGCUGUCACAUUCCUUCAGUGAGACUUUACAUUGAGGAGACGACGUGCAACUCUAUUGACCUUGGCCUCCUCGCUGCUGAGGCACGCGCAUCUAAGGAGAACCUGUCGUGCUGCUGCGUGGACCAUAAAGAACACGUCAGCUGCGGCGCCCGAUUUCAAGAUGUGCGCGCGUGGCCUUUGAUGAUCAGUGAAGAGAACCACUUUAGCGCUCUAGAGCAGGGACUGCACAAUAUGAACCUGAAUCGGCAGCUGACUGAGCGAGAAGCUGGCGUACGACAUCCAUGGGAACUGCACUUCUAUCAUGGGAGAGGCAGCAAAUGCGUUGCUGCUGGGCUUUCGCGUGAUGCCACCGCUCGCGGACGGCGACGCGCUGUACCGUAGCGUCUACCUCUCCCCCCGCACUGUAGGGUACGCCGUGGGGGGUCAGGUGUGUAGCUGAAGCCGGAAUGUGGCAUGGCGUAUGGGAACGGAAAGCUCAUCGCUGAAGAGACGCUGCUGUAACCAAACGAUCGCAUGAUUCUCGGUAAGGAUCUCGGCCUUCGUUUUGCUGAGGGAGGCACCGAGCUUCCACGUGCAAGCGGGUCGCGCAUUCUGGACUGGGAUCUCUGCUACAAGGAGCUCCAGCAGGAGAAUGCGCGAGCGGUGGGAAGAGGCACAUUGGCGGCGCUGGAGCGCGAUAACAGCGAUUUGUGUCUACGCUGCGAUUAUCUCGAGGCGCGACUGCAGCACACGUGCGGCGACUUGUGGCUGAUGCUCACGAACCCGCUGCCCCCCCCCUAUCGUGGCGCACUGCUGUGACCGGUCGACCUCCGCGAGCGCCACAGCCAAGCUACCAUGAAACCCCCAAGGCGACGCUCGGCUGCCGUUCUUGGUCCACACGGCCAACAUUAAACACGCAAUGGACCGCCUGAUCUUGCAGGAUGGGAGUGCCGGCAUCCACCUCAUCAACAGGUCCUGGCUCACUGUAGGCAGCGCCACUUUCGCCAUCAGCGUCAAUGAGAGCGCCUCACUGGGCCAGGUGCGCAAGGAUGGCAAGCACGACGCCCGUGAGUCUCGAGACGCAACACUGGAAAUGCAAUCAAGCUUCUUCUUGCAAUGGCCAGUCGGGGAGCUAUUUGACUUCGUGGUACCGGUCAAGGGCCGGAAGGCACGAGGGGAGGAGGACAAGUAUUUUGCCUACCAAAAUCCGCUGUACGACACCCCCGCGCUGGAGUUUGCAUCGCUCCAGCCAGCCAGAAUUGUGACGCUGAACGCGAAGAUCACAGCGGCGAUGCGGCUGAUGGGCGCUGAGCUAGCAAAAGAGCUGCGCGAGCACGCCGACCUGUCAGCUUCUCUGUAGGUGGCAUCGUCUCUCCGCGACGAGGUGGUCACCAGCGCAAAGGCGGCGGAAUUCUUCAAGGGUGCAUAGAACAGCGCCUCCCUUUCUGCGGCCGCCUUGAAUAGGUUGCAUGAGGACGUCGAUACUGCGUUGAUGGAGAACUGAAACGAACGCGCUGCGUGCCCGUCCGCAACGUGACUUUCAGUCGUAAAAGAGCGGCCAGGCGACACCGCCGGUCCGGCUUCUUGGAAGCAAAGCGCCUGCAGCUAAAAGGGAAAAGUCUUCUUGUCUCCUCGGCCAUUGUGCGCCGACUGAGUACUACCGUGGAUCUGCCCAACGUGAGUAUCAACGCCAAAGCACUGCGGAAGCGAGAUGUGCAGCACGUCAGUGCAACGGGUAUGUCAUUUUUCGAGAAGGGCGUGGAUGCCAGCGUGCUCGGCGAACUUCUCCUGCUCAUUGUGAAUGCUGUGCUGUCGACGGAUUACUGCAUUCAGUGGCACAUGCUUUCGACGACUGAAGUGGAGGGAAUGCGGCAGCAGUGUGUGCAGUGACGAGAGUAGACGGACAGGUGCGUAGGUGCUUUGGCCAGCCAGAUGCACUCAUCUAGUAGUACGUAGAAGGGCGAGGCGGCUGUGCAGCGCAAGCGCACGCCGCAGAGUCGGCGCAGCACGGGCAAGCCUCGAAGCGACAUGCGCGUGCUCAGCCCACCGGCGGCGCUGUCUGGCACUGCGUCCCGCAAGACAAGCCUCUCUCGCACCACCCCAAGUCACACGUCUUUGCCGCCGCGAAGCACUGGUGUUCUUGGCGGAAGCCGCUCGCGUCUCUCUCGAGCGCAGAUGCUAUUAAGACGCCGCACAGCCUGAGCUCCUUUGCGACUUUUCGAAAAUCGAGCGUGCCCUCUGCUACCUGCUCCGCAGCGGGGGCUCGCCUAUUGUGCUGGAAUUGUGCCUCUUUUCCAAUAGAUGCUGACAGGAUGAAGAACAUCGCCUCAGGCGGUACACGCCCCCUCCCCCUCCCCCAGUGGCGACCGCCGUUUCAGGACGUCGGAAAUUCUACAGCAGAGCGCGCUGCCGCAAGAAGCAGUGCGCCUCAGCUGCUGCUACUGUGCGGUUGGUUUCUGUUCGCUCUCUUCGCGGUUUUUCAUACGAGUAUCGUCUCUUCUCGCUGCUCCGCUUUCUUUCCUUUUUAUUCUCUGUCGUUCUCUUAUCGCGUUGAUCCGCCUAG